This 223-nucleotide long non-coding RNA is filed under the name Mytilus galloprovincialis (Mediterranean mussel). Lineage: Eukaryota; Metazoa; Mollusca; Bivalvia; Mytilida; Mytilidae. The record is from RNAcentral.
UUGCUAUUUACUAUCAAUUAGUUUACAGUGGCCGAUUCAGAACUUUUUAUAAGGGAGGGGACACUGACUGACCUAAAAGGGGGUGGGAGUUCCUUCCCCAUAUAAUCAACAACUGGGAUCCGCCUAUGUAUGGUUUACUAUACAUAUGUAUAUGUAAGUACCUUUGACUUUUGAUACCUCUCUCUGUAUAGUAAUUAAAGUAUAAAUGCAUGUUCAUAGAGUA